AUACGGAAGGUCCGGGCGUUAUCCGGAUUUAUUGGGUUUAAAGGGAGCGCAGGCGGGGAUGCAAGCGUGACGUCAAAUUUCGGGGCUCAACCCCGUCUCGCGUCGCGAACUGCGUCCCUUGGUUGCGGGAAGGGGAGGCGGAACUCGUGGUGUAGCGGUGAAAUGCAUAGAUAUCACGAAGAACUCCGAUCGCGAAGGCAGCCUUCCGGCCCGUCAACGACGCUCAUGCUCGAAGGUGCGGGUAUCAAACAGGAUUAGAUACCCUGGUAGUCCGCACAGUAAACGAUGGACACCCGCGGUUUGGCCUGUAUGGCUGAGCCGCCAAGCGAAAGCGUUAAGUGUCCCACCCGGGGAGUACGCCGGCAACGGUGAAACUCAAAUGAAUUGGCGGGG
RNAcentral lists this ribosomal RNA (393 nucleotides) under uncultured bacterium. RNAcentral's name for it is "partial 16S ribosomal RNA". It matches the Rfam family "Bacterial small subunit ribosomal RNA", at positions 523 to 918 of the family's 1533-position model. The record is from RNAcentral.